AGUGAACGCUGGCGAUAGGCCUAACACAUGCAAGUCGAACGGCAGCACAGUAAGAGCUUGCUCUUACGGGUGGCGAGUGGCGGACGGGUGAGGAAUACAUCGGAAUCUACUUUUUCGUGGGGGAUAACGUAGGGAAACUUACGCUAAUACCGCAUACGACCUACGGGUGAAAGCAGGGGAUCUUCGGACCUUGCGCGAUUGAAUGAGCCGAUGUCGGAUUAGCUAGUUGGCGGGGUAAAGGCCCACCAAGGCGACGAUCCGUAGCUGGUCUGAGAGGAUGAUCAGCCACACUGGACCUGAGACACGGUCCAGACUCCUACGGGAGGCAGCAGUGGGGAAUAUUGGACAAUGGGCGCAAGCCUGAUCCAGCCAUCCCGCGUGGGUGAAGAAGGCCUUCGGGUUGUAAAGCCCUUUUGUUGGGAAAGAAAAGCAGCAGGUUAAUACCCCGCUGUUCUGACGGUACCCAAAGAAUAAGCACCGGCUACCUUCGU
This 491-nucleotide ribosomal RNA is filed under the name uncultured bacterium. Its description in RNAcentral is "partial 16S ribosomal RNA". It matches the Rfam family "Bacterial small subunit ribosomal RNA", at positions 29 to 506 of the family's 1533-position model. The record is from RNAcentral.